AUUGAACGCUGGCGGCAUGCUUUACACAUGCAAGUCGAACGGUAACAGGGUGCUUGCACCGCUGACGAGUGGCGAACGGGUGAGUAAUACAUCGGAAUGUACCCAGUAAUGGGGGAUAACGCGUCGCAAGGAGUGCUAAUACCGCAUACGCCCUGAGGGGGAAAGUGGGGGACCGCAAGGCCUCACGUUCUUGGACCAGCCGAUGGCCGAUUAGCUAUUUGGUGAGGUAAAGGCUCACCAAGGCGACGAUCAGUAGCGGGUCUUAGAGGACGAUCCGCCACACUGGGACUGAGACACGGUCCAGACUCCUACGGGAGGCAGCAGUGGGGAAUCUUGGACAAUGGGCGAAAGCCUGAUCCAGCAAUGCCGCGUGCGUGAAGAAGGCCUUCGGGUUGUAAAGCGCUUUUGUCUGGGAGCAAAUCCUAGCCUCUAAUACAGGUCGGGGAUGAGAGUACCAGAAGAAUAAGGACCGGCUAACUACGUGCCAGCCGCCGCAGUAA
Molecule: ribosomal RNA, 500 nt
Filed under: uncultured bacterium
Lineage: Bacteria
Description: partial 16S ribosomal RNA
Rfam family: Bacterial small subunit ribosomal RNA
Source: RNAcentral